ACCUCAUCUUGUAUCCAGUCUGUAGGUGGUAGGAAAUGUGGACAAAGACCAUUGAAGAUGUGGGGAAGUGCAGGAAAAUCCAUCUGACUGAUGAGAAACACCGACUAUGGCAUCUCUCUAAAAAGAAACAGCAUCAAAUAAAUGCCAACACUUCUAGCAGUGGAGUGAUGCAAAACUGACAAAGUGCAAGAAAUAGACUGGAAGCUCCUAUUGUACUGAAUCUCAGCUUAGAGACAUAAAGAAUGAGUAAAUUAACUGAACUUGGAUACACUUCAGAGCCCUGUGCACCACACAGGAGAAGGUGAGAGGAAUGAUCCUCCAAAACUACAUAUUUCAUACACCAAGCUGAAAUCCCAGGACUCUUCA
This is a long non-coding RNA of Tupaia belangeri chinensis (Chinese tree shrew), 366 nucleotides long. RefSeq lists it as uncharacterized. The record is from RefSeq and is a predicted model, not a curated record. NCBI's taxonomy places the organism in Eukaryota, Metazoa, Chordata, Mammalia, Scandentia, Tupaiidae. The transcript has 3 exons.